GAAACCAAGAUGAUUUAGUAGUCUCUUCAAUUCAGUUGUAUUAGCUGAACAUUGCCUAAUUAUCGUGCCUAUAGGAACAUCACCCAAGGUUUAAGGGAGAUAACUUUGAGAAGAACAAGGCCAUUUAUUUUCGUAUUGAAAAGUUAGCUAAGAAGCAUGGAUGCACUCCUGCUCAACUUGCGCUCGCAUGGGUUCUUCAUCAAGGAGAUGACGUUGUACCUAUUCCAGGUAAGUCCGUUCAUAUAAGAAGCUUACUUUAAAUAAGUAGUUUUCACAGGACUUCAGCAGUUUGUUAUAACUGGAAAAUUGUGAUAUUUGUCGAUGUUGUAACUCACGUAGCAAUGGAAGAUGACUGACUCAAAUGUUUAUUGUUAUAUUGAUCUCAUGAAUUGUUUAAGAAUUAGCAGUAAAUCAAUCUUGUAAUAUUUACAGGAACCACAAAAAUAAAAAAUCUUCAUGAAAAUAUUGGUUCCGUGAAAGUGAAGCUUACAAAAGAUGAUUUGAAAGAGAUAUCCGAUGCAGUUCCCAUCGAUGAGGUGGCAGGGACCAAAACUCAUUCGGAGGCCCUUGAAAAGAGCUCUUGGAGAUUUGCAUAUACACCACUGCCAAAAUGAGCACAGCAGAACCGGAAAAUAUUUUUAUCUUAAUGUCUUGAAAGAACGUGUGCUUUUUGGGGAUAGUUCUAGCAAUUUCAUGUACUUCGUAUAACUCUUUCUCGGGUCAAUAAUUUCAGUACUGUGUUUCUUGAGUUUAAAGUCUGUCCUUUAUGCUUAAUGCCUAAAUUUUGUAAGGUAUUCUCUAAGGUUUUGAAGAACAUAGAACACAUAUCCCAGCUACAAUAUCAGUAUUUUAGUUUGUGAUCAUGUUUCCUCCUUUAUCGUUGUGGCGUGAUAUAUUACAAAUUAUGUUUAUUAAUUUUACUUUGGGCCAACUCUUUGGAAGAUGUUAGUAGAUGUAUC
This 959-nucleotide long non-coding RNA is filed under the name Olea europaea subsp. europaea. Lineage: Eukaryota; Viridiplantae; Streptophyta; Magnoliopsida; Lamiales; Oleaceae. The record is from RNAcentral.